Molecule: ribosomal RNA, 417 nt
Filed under: uncultured bacterium
Lineage: Bacteria
Description: bacterial SSU rRNA
Rfam family: Bacterial small subunit ribosomal RNA
Source: RNAcentral
UGGGGAAUAUUGGGCAAUGGGCGCAAGCCUGACCCAGCAACGCCGCGUGAAGGAAGAAGGCUUUCGGGUUGUAAACUUCUUUUCUCAGGGACGAAGCAAGUGACGGUACCUGAGGAAUAAGCCACGGCUAGCUACGUGCCAGCAGCCGCGGUAAUACGUAGGUGGCAAGCGUUAUCCGGAUUUACUGGGUGUAAAGGGCGUGUAGGCGGGAAAGCAAGUCAGAUGUGAAAACCAUGGGCUCAACCCAUGGCCUGCAUUUGAAACUGUUUUCUUGAGUACUGGAGAGGCAGACGGAAUUCCUAGUGUAGCGGUGAAAUGCGUAGAUAUUAGGAGGAACACCAGUGGCGAAGGCGGUCUGCUGGACAGCAACUGACGCUGAGGCGCGAAAGCGUGGGGAGCAAACAGGAUUAGAUACCC